GACGAACGCUGGCGGCGUGCUUAACACAUGCAAGUCGAACGGAAAGGCCCUGCUUUUGUGGGGUGCUCGAGUGGCGAACGGGUGAGUAACACGUGAGUAACCUGCCCUUGACUUUGGGAUAACUUCAGGAAACUGGGGCUAAUACCGGAUAGGAGCUCCUGCUGCAUGGUGGGGGUUGGAAAGUUUCGGCGGUUGGGGAUGGACUCGCGGCUUAUCAGCUUGUUGGUGGGGUAGUGGCUUACCAAGGCUUUGACGGGUAGCCGGCCUGAGAGGGUGACCGGCCACAUGGGGACUGAGAUACGGCCCAGACUCCUACGGGAGGCAGCAGUGGGGAAUAUUGCACAAUGGGCGGAAGCCUGAUGCAGAAACGCCGCGUGCGGGAUGACGGCCUUCGGGUUGUAACCGCUUUCGCCUGUGACGAAGCGUGAGUGACGGUAAUGGGUAAAGAAGCACCGGCUAACUACGUG
This 467-nucleotide ribosomal RNA is filed under the name uncultured bacterium. RNAcentral's name for it is "partial 16S ribosomal RNA". It matches the Rfam family "Bacterial small subunit ribosomal RNA", at positions 28 to 507 of the family's 1533-position model. The record is from RNAcentral.